AGCAGUCGCCAGGGAAUACGUAGGGUGCAAGCGUUAAUCGGAAUUACUGGGCGUAAAGCGUGCGUAGGCGGUGAGUUAAGUCUGCUGUGAAAUCCCCGGGCUCAACCUGGGAAUGGCAGCGGAUACUGGCUCGCUAGAGUGUGUCAGAGGAUGGUGGAAUUCCCGGUGUAGCGGUGAAAUGCGUAGAGAUCGGGAGGAACAUCAGUGGCGAAGGCGGCCAUCUGGGACAACACUGACGCUGAGGCACGAAAGCGUGGGGAGCAAACAGGAUUAGAUACCCCUGUAGUCCCUGUCUCUUAUACA
Molecule: ribosomal RNA, 303 nt
Filed under: uncultured bacterium
Lineage: Bacteria
Description: partial 16S ribosomal RNA
Rfam family: Bacterial small subunit ribosomal RNA
Source: RNAcentral